CAAUAGCGUAUAUUAACGUUGUUGCAGUUAAAAAGCUCGUAGUUGGAUUUCUGACAGGAGUGACCGGUCCGAGUCGCAAGACUCGUGUACUUUUGUGUCUUACUCUAGUCAUCCUUAUGGAGAUUGUGUUUCGGCAUUGAGUUGUCGGGCAUAGGACCCAUAUCGUUUACUGUGAAAAAAUUAGAGUGUUUAAAGCAGGCAAUUGCUGUGAAUACAUUAGCAUGGAAUAAUAAGAUAGGACUUUGGUGCUAUUUUGUUGGUUUGCCACCAAGGUAAUGAUUAAGAGGGACAGUUGGGGGUAUUCGUAUUUAAUUGUCAGAGGUGAAAUUCUUGGAUUUAUGAAAGACGAACUACUGCGAAAGCAUUUACCAAAGAUGUUUUCAUUAA
RNAcentral lists this ribosomal RNA (387 nucleotides) under uncultured eukaryote. Its description in RNAcentral is "partial 18S ribosomal RNA". It matches the Rfam family "Eukaryotic small subunit ribosomal RNA", at positions 592 to 976 of the family's 1831-position model. The record is from RNAcentral.